RNAcentral lists this ribosomal RNA (370 nucleotides) under uncultured organism. Its description in RNAcentral is "bacterial SSU rRNA". It matches the Rfam family "Bacterial small subunit ribosomal RNA", at positions 526 to 896 of the family's 1533-position model. The record is from RNAcentral.
CGAAGGGGGCUAGCGUUGUUCGGAAUUACUGGGCGUAAAGCGCGCGCAGGCGGCUAUCCAAGUCAGUGGUGAAAGCCCGGAGCUCAACUCCGGAACUGCCAUUGAAACUGUUUAGCUUGAGGACGAGAGAGGUGAGUGGAAUUCCCAGUGUAGAGGUGGAAUUCGUAGAUAUUGGGAAGAACACCGGUGGCGAAGGCGGCUCACUGGCUCGUUUCUGACGCUCAGGCGCGAUAGCGUGGGGAUCAAACAGGAUUAGAUACCCUGGUAGUCCACGCCGUAAACGAUGAUUGCUAGCCGUUGGGCAGCUUGCUGUUCAGUGGCGCAGCUAACGCAUUAAGCAAUCCGCCUGGGGAGUACGGCCGCAAGGUUG